AUUGAACGCUGGCGGCAGGCCUAACACAUGCAAGUCGAACGAGUUGCGGACUGGUGAGUAAUGUCUGGGAAACUGCCUGAUGGAGGGGGAUAACUACUGGAAACGGUAGCUAAUACCGCAUACCAUCGGAUGUGCCCAGAUGGGAUUAGGUAGUAGGUGGGGUAAAGGCUCACCUAGGCGACGAUCCCUAGCUGGUCUGAGAGGAUGACCAGCCACACUGGAACUGAGAAACGGACCAGACUCCUACGGGAAGCAGCAGUGAGGAAUAUUGCAAAAAGAACGCGAGCCUAAUGGGGCCAUGCCGCGUGUAUGACUAAGAACUUCGGGUUGUAAAGUACUUUCAGCAGGGAGGCGUUACCCGCAGAAGAAGCAACGGCUAACUCCGUGCCAGCAGCCGCGGUAAUUC
RNAcentral lists this ribosomal RNA (406 nucleotides) under uncultured bacterium. RNAcentral describes it as "partial 16S ribosomal RNA". It matches the Rfam family "Bacterial small subunit ribosomal RNA", at positions 30 to 526 of the family's 1533-position model. The record is from RNAcentral.